GCAUUGUCCAACAAAUGAUAAACAGGUGAUUGAACUAUCAGGAUGAGUACAGAAGCAGAUCACUAUGUACAAUUAGAACUGAGCAUGGAUGGAGGAGAGAUGACCACCAGUGGAUGAGGAUGAAACACUGCCAGAUGUAUUUCAUUUUCUUCCUGGACCUGUGGGACACUGACAUUUUCCAUCUCCCCUUGCAUCUAGGAAUGAGUCAGUGGAUGUAGAUGGAAGUAACAUAAGGCAUUUCCAGAAAUGGCCCAUAGAAUGUUCCAAUGAUGAUUCACAGUUUCUCCGCUCUGCAUGACUGGAAGUGAAGGAUACCAAGAUGGUAGAAGUUCAAGAGGGAAGGAACUGAUCUAUGAACUUUCCAUGAGAAAGAAGUCCUGGGGGAGCACAUUUAUCUACUCUGAAAUUCUUCCAGAAUCUCUCAGUUGGUGAGUCAGUGUGACACUGACCGACAAGGAUGGAGACAAGCCACUGUUAAGCUCGUUAAUGGGAGGACUCUGACACUGUUACGGUGGUUUUGUGUUCCGGGCCACCUAGCAGGCAUGGAGAAUUGUGUGAAUACUCCUACAGGAGUCGUCUGUGUAUGGGUG
This 590-nucleotide long non-coding RNA is filed under the name Capra hircus (goat). RNAcentral's name for it is "lncRNA (ENSCHIG00000005569.1)". The record is from RNAcentral. Lineage: Eukaryota; Metazoa; Chordata; Mammalia; Artiodactyla; Bovidae.